Molecule: transfer RNA, 69 nt
Filed under: Heterocephalus glaber (naked mole-rat)
Lineage: Eukaryota; Metazoa; Chordata; Mammalia; Rodentia; Bathyergidae
Rfam family: tRNA
About the family: Transfer RNA (tRNA) molecules are approximately 80 nucleotides in length. Their secondary structure includes four short double-helical elements and three loops (D, anti-codon, and T loops). Further hydrogen bonds mediate the characteristic L-shaped molecular structure. tRNAs have two regions of fundamental functional importance: the anti-codon, which is responsible for specific mRNA codon recognition, and the 3' end, to which the tRNAs corresponding amino acid is attached (by aminoacyl-tRNA synthetases). tRNAs cope with the degeneracy of the genetic code in two manners: having more than one tRNA (with a specific anti-codon) for a particular amino acid; and 'wobble' base-pairing, i.e. permitting non-standard base-pairing at the 3rd anti-codon position.
Source: Rfam by way of RNAcentral
GGGGAUAUAGCUCAGUGGUGCAGCACCUGCCUGGCAAGCACAGGGUCCUGAGUUCAAUUCCCAGUACCA